Long non-coding RNA from Pipistrellus kuhlii (Kuhl's pipistrelle), 802 nucleotides. RefSeq lists it as uncharacterized. Lineage: Eukaryota; Metazoa; Chordata; Mammalia; Chiroptera; Vespertilionidae. The record is from RefSeq and is a predicted model, not a curated record. The transcript has 2 exons.
GGUUAAACUGAAAAGAAGAAAGAUGGGUCAGGUGGAGAGCAGUGGAGGCCACUGCAGUUAUUUGUCUCGGGGCGCUUGAUAACGAUGAGGUCAACAUAGAAUGAAUGGAAUAGGAAAUUCUUUAGUGGCCAUUUCAGUUACUAUGCCUAAAAAAAUGCAUAAAAUUCCUUUUAAUUACAUAGUAUUUUCAUAUAAAUUUGACCUUCAUUCCUGUGAGCUAAAUUUUAUCCCCAUUUUAGAGAUGAGACAAAUGUGUGAAUUUAAGUCCUACUACUGUUAAGUAUGGAACUACAACCAAAACCAAUUCUUACUCCAAUUCUUUUCUCCAAAACUCAGGGCCAACUUGAACUGAUGGUUUUCCAUAUAGUGAUUUUUUCUAAGGGAAGCAAAGUGACUCCAAGACCCCAGCACCCAGGAAAGACACUAGGGGGGGCUCACAGCCAUGGCGUAGCCGGUCAGCAGGAUCACAAUGACCAGCAGGAAGCCCACCACCUCGUCCCAGGCUUUGCCGGCGACCCUAAACAGACGGCACAGUCACUGCUGCUUUCCUGAAGGGCUCGCUGCGUCUCUCCCUACUGAAAUGGCAUGAACACGGGCAAAGUGCGCUCAGCUGGGGCUUCGAUCUGGCCUGGGCACAGUGGGUUAGAGCCUCAGCUCAGAGCUGCUGCUUACCAAAACUUGGCUUUCUCCAAUACAGCUUUCACUGCGUACAUUUUUCUCAUUGCUUAAACUUAAUUAAAAAAAGUUUCUGAAUUAGUUAUCAAGCCUGAAAAUAAAACACUGUGUUUGGCUUAAAAUAUGU